CAGUCUUUAACUAGUCACACUUUGAAGUCAAGGGAAUGGAAAAUUCUUAUUACAUCUUAAAGGCAAGGAAGAAAAAUGUCGAGCUCUUUUGAGAUCCUGCUGUUGAUGCUGAAGUUCUUGAAGGUGUAAACUCCAUCUGUAAUCACAAGUGCUGUGGGCUCCCUGCUCUGCCCUGGGCUUCCAUACUGCUAACAGGAAAAAUCAGUCAUGAAAAUAGACCAGCUGCUGGCACAAAACCAAUAACACUUCCUCUCUUUUCACAGGGCAAAGCCUCAACAGUGCUGCAUCUCAACAGAUAGAAGUCUGAGAGCUUUCUCAGAGGACCUGUGGACACUGAGCUACUAAGGAUAAACGAGCAGGUGGAUAUGAAAUGAGUAUAGGACCCCACGGAGAACCCUGCCAGGACCUGUGGAGAGGAGCCCACACUGGAACAGGUAUUUUGGCAGGACUUGUGAUCCAGUGGAGGAUCCACACUGGAGCAGCCUGUUCCUAGGCCACUGCACCCCAUGCAAGGGACCCACACUGGAGCAGUUCACGGAGAACUACAGCCCGUGGCAAGGACUCACAC
Molecule: long non-coding RNA, 568 nt
Organism: Neopelma chrysocephalum (saffron-crested tyrant-manakin)
Lineage: Eukaryota; Metazoa; Chordata; Aves; Passeriformes; Pipridae
Exons: 5
Source: RefSeq, a predicted model, not a curated record